This 336-nucleotide ribosomal RNA is filed under the name uncultured bacterium. RNAcentral describes it as "partial 16S ribosomal RNA". It matches the Rfam family "Bacterial small subunit ribosomal RNA", at positions 338 to 691 of the family's 1533-position model. The record is from RNAcentral.
CCUACGGGAGGCAGCAGUAGGGAAUAUUGCUCAAUGGGGGAAACCCUGAAGCAGCAACGCCGCGUGGAGGAUGAAGGUUUUCGGAUUGUAAACUCCUUUUGGUAGAGAAGAGAAUGACGGUAGCUAACGAAUAAGCACCGGCUAACUCCGGGCCAGCAGCCGCGGUAAUACGGAGGGUGCAAGCGUUACUCGGAAUCACUGGGCGUAAAGAGCGCGUAGGCGGGAUAGCAAGUCAGAUUUUAAAUCCUAUGUCUUAACCAUAGAACUGCAUUUGAAACUGUUAUUCUAGAGUAUGGGAGAGGUAGGUGGAAUUCUUGGUGUAGUGGUCCACUCCGU